Molecule: ribosomal RNA, 407 nt
Filed under: uncultured bacterium
Lineage: Bacteria
Description: partial 16S ribosomal RNA
Rfam family: Bacterial small subunit ribosomal RNA
Source: RNAcentral
AAUAUUGCGCAAUGGAGGGAACUCUGACGCAGCGACGCCGCGUGAGCGAUGAAGGUCUUCGGAUCGUAAAGCUCUGUCCUUGGGGAAGAAGGUCUUCGGACUUGACGGUACCUAAGGAGGAAGCCCCGGCUAACUACGUGCCAGCAGCCGCGGUAAUACGUAGGGGGCAAGCGUUGUCCGGAAUUAUUGGGCGUAAAGGGUGCGUAGGCGGCCUUUUAAGUCAGAUGCGAAAGCCCACGGCUUAACCGUGGGACUGCAUUUGAAACUAAAAGGCUUGAGUGCAGGAGAGGAGAGUGGAAUUCCUAGUGUAGCGGUGAAAUGCGUAGAUAUUAGGAGGAACACCAGUGGCGAAGGCGACUCUCUGGACUGCAACUGACGCUGAGGCACGAAAGCGUGGGGAGCGAACA